This 19-nucleotide non-coding RNA is filed under the name Mus musculus (house mouse). The record is from RNAcentral. Lineage: Eukaryota; Metazoa; Chordata; Mammalia; Rodentia; Muridae.
GAGGUGGCAAGCGUCCGAC